This 262-nucleotide ribosomal RNA is filed under the name uncultured bacterium. Its description in RNAcentral is "partial 16S ribosomal RNA". It matches the Rfam family "Bacterial small subunit ribosomal RNA", at positions 91 to 354 of the family's 1533-position model. The record is from RNAcentral.
CGGACCGGCGCACGGGUGAGUAACACGUAUGCAACCUGCCCUCUUCAGGGGGACAACCUUCCGAAAGGGAGGCUAAUCCCGCGUAUAUCGGUUUCGGGCAUCCGAGAUCGAGGAAAGAUUCAUCGGAAGAGGAUGGGCAUGCGGCGCAUUAGCUAGACGGCGGGGUAACGGCUCACCGUGGCGACGAUGCGUAGGGGUUCUGAGAGGAAGGUCCCCCACACUGGUACUGAGACACGGACCAGACUCCUACGGGAGGCAGCAG